AAAUUGAAGAGUUUGAUCAUGGCUCAGAUUGAACGCUGGCGGCAGGCCUAACACAUGCAAGUCGAACGGUAACAGGAAGCAGCUUGCUGCUUUGCUGACGAGUGGCGGACGGGUGAGUAAUGUCUGGGAAACUGCCUGAUGGAGGGGGAUAACUACUGGAAACGGUGGCUAAUACCGCAUAACGUCGCAAGACCAAAGAGGGGGACCUUCGGGCCUCUUGCCAUCAGAUGUGCCCAGAUGGGAUUAGCUUGUUGGUGAGGUAACGGCUCACCAAGGCGACGAUCCCUAGCUGGUCUGAGAGGAUGACCAGCCACACUGGAACUGAGACACGGUCCAGACUCCUACGGGAGGCAGCAGUGGGGAAUAUUGCACAAUGGGCGCAAGCCUGAUGCAGCCAUGCCGCGUGUAUGAAGAAGGCCUUCGGGUUGUAAAGUACUUUCAGCGGGGAGGAAGGUGUUGUGGUUAAUAACCGCAGCAAUUGACGUUACCCGCAGAAGAAGCACCGGCUAACUCCGUGCCAGCAGCCGCGGUAAUACGGAGGGUGCAAGCGUU
Molecule: ribosomal RNA, 552 nt
Filed under: Salmonella enterica
Lineage: Bacteria; Pseudomonadati; Pseudomonadota; Gammaproteobacteria; Enterobacterales; Enterobacteriaceae
Description: bacterial SSU rRNA
Rfam family: Bacterial small subunit ribosomal RNA
Source: RNAcentral